RNAcentral lists this long non-coding RNA (1062 nucleotides) under Anolis carolinensis (green anole). RNAcentral describes it as "lncRNA (ENSACAG00000037117.1)". Lineage: Eukaryota; Metazoa; Chordata; Lepidosauria; Squamata; Anolidae. The record is from RNAcentral.
GUAUGCUUGAUUCAGUCACAGAGGUCCUUAUCUGCCCAUUUCUGUUUGGGUUCCAAUAAUAAAUGUUCCCUGGUUUUAAUUAAUUUGGAAUUUUAUGCUCUGUUGAACUUGAAACCUUGUAUUAAAGAUAAAACAGAUUUCUCUAUGCACUGGCAGAUUUGGCAGGUUUUUGAAGCUCUAAAAAACACCUACUUUGCCAAAGAACAAACAUCCAAUUAUUUUCUUCUUAUGACAAACUGAUCUGGCCAUAGAGUGUAUGGGGAGGUCUCCUGUUCCUAAAGUGCGCCUUCCAACAUCCUAAAAUAUCCCCAUACUAUGAAACACACAGCUGUUAUCUAUGCAUGUAAACUCCAAAGGAUACAAAUUAAAAAUGUGGUUGAUUUUCCUGAAUAAUGUUUCACUCUUGUCUAAAAUGUCAUUGAUCUGAGACUGGAAAGAGAGGGAGUAUGCAUUUUGUAGACAGCUUAAGUGUCUGUUGUUAUCACCCACAGAUGUUUAGAAAGCAGUACCAUCUGUCUCAACUUUUAUCAUUUUAGGAAAAGCUUAGAGGGUGACCAAUCCUUAAAUUGAUUUGGUCCCUGCAGAUUGGAAAACACGUCCCCAUCAUUUCUAGCAUAAAUAUGCCACAGAAACCCUUCUGAUCACUAUAGAUUAUCAGCACUAUACUAUGGUGGUUUUUAAAAAAUAUGGAAGAUUUUGCUGAGAAGCCCAUUAAUAAAGCAUUCACACAAGAACAAUAAAAGUAUAACUACAAAGAAUGCAAUGCAAAAUGUGUUGAAAUACAGUAUGUCACAUGCAUGCACAUUCUCUCAUGUUCAUUGCAUUACCCAUUCCCAUUGUGUUAUCAAAACACCAGGAUCCCAAAGAGGACCCCAAAGCCCACAGCCAUUGAAAGGUCUCAAUAGCCAAGACAACCUUUUACCCAGCAACCUAAUGGAGGCUAACCACCAUAAAUGACUCUUAGCCUGGACAUAUAAGUUUCACAAGCACUCAUACACUCACGAGGGGGGAAACAUAGGAAAAUACUAUCAUCCUUCAAUAUGCAAGCAUAAUCCUCUAACA